CCGAAACCACAGUGAUCUACCCAUGUCCAGGCUGAAGCACAGGUAAAAAUGUGUGGAGGGCCGAACCUAUAUCCGUUGAAAAGGGUUAGGAUGAGGUGUGGGUAGGGGUGAAAUUCCAAUCGAACGUGGAGAUAGCUGGUUCUCCCCGAAAUAGCUUUAGGGCUAGCCUCGAGGUAGAGAUUGCAGGCGGUAGAGCACUGAUCAGGAGAGGGGCCUACCCGGCUACCAAACCCAGUCAAACUACGAAUGGCUGCAAUUAUACUCGGGAGUCAGACUACGACUUAUAAGGGCCGUGGUCAAAAGGGAAACAGCCCAGAUCAUCAGCUAAGGUCCCAAAUGCCGUGCUAAGUGGCGAAGGAUGUGGCGUUUCAUAAACAACCAGGAUGUUGGCUCAGAAGCAGCCACCAUUUAAAGAGUGCGUAAUAGCUCACUGGUCGAGAGACGCUGCGCCGAAAAUGUCCGGGGCUCAAGCACGGAACCGAAGCUAUGGCAUUGACUAUGUCAAUGGGUAGGGGAGCGUUCUUAACAGGAAGAAGCAUGACCGGAAGGACAUGUGGACCGUUAAGAAGUGAGAAUGCCGGUAUGAGUAUCGAAAAGAAAGGUGAGAAUCCUUUCCACCGAAAGCCCGAGGGUUCCUGAGCAACGAUCGUCGUCUCAGGGUAAGUCGGGACCUAAGCCGAGGCGGAGACGCAUAGGCGAUGGACAACAGGUUGAAAUUCCUGUACCGGAUACAAUCGUUUGAGCGAUGGAGCGACGCAGAAAGGCAUAUGAUCGCGCGACUGGAAGAGCGCGUCCAAGUGCGUAUGUUGAAUCGGAGGCAAAUCCCUGAUUCUGAAAGCAGAGACACGAUGGGGAGUUAUACGAAAGUAUGACGAACUCAUAGAUCCUACACUGCCAAGAAAAACUUCUAGUGAGAAAGUAUCCGCCCGUACCGUAAACCGACACAGGUAGGCGGGGAGAGAAUCCUAAGGUGCGCGGGAAAACCCUCGUUAAGGAACUCGGCAAAUUGCAUCCGUAACUUAGGGAGAAGGAUGACCUUAAGUAAGCGAAAGGGAGAAACCCCUGGAACAGAACAAGGUGGCAGAAAAGAGGCCCAAGCAACUGUUUACCAAAAACACAGGUGCCUGCGAAAGCGAAAGCUGAAGUAUAGGUGCUGACGCCUGCCCGGUGCUGGAAGGUUAAGGAGAGAUGUCAGAGCAAUCGAAGCAUUGAACUGAAGCCCCAGUGAACGGCGGCCGUAACUAUAACGGUCCUAAGGUAGCGAAAUUCCUUGUCGGGUAAGUUCCGACCCGCAUGAAAGGCGUAAUGAUUUGGGCACUGUCUCAACGAGGGGCCCGGUGAAAUUGAAAUACCUGUGAAGAUGCAGGUUACCCGCGACUGGACAGAAAGACCCCAUGGAGCUUCACUGCAGCUUGAGAUUGAAUCUCGGUGAUGCAUGCACAGGAUAGGUGGGAGACUAAGAAGUAUGGGCUUUGGCUUAUACCGAGUCGAUGUUGGGAUACCACCCUUGUAUUGCUGAGAUUCUAACACGGAGGCUAACAACCUCGUGGACCAUCUCAGGUAGGCGGUUUGACUGGGGCGGUCGCCUCCGAAAGAGU
This 1598-nucleotide ribosomal RNA is filed under the name human gut metagenome. Its description in RNAcentral is "bacterial LSU rRNA". It matches the Rfam family "Bacterial large subunit ribosomal RNA", at positions 715 to 2298 of the family's 2925-position model. The record is from RNAcentral.